RNAcentral lists this ribosomal RNA (467 nucleotides) under uncultured bacterium. Its description in RNAcentral is "partial 16S ribosomal RNA". It matches the Rfam family "Bacterial small subunit ribosomal RNA", at positions 28 to 506 of the family's 1533-position model. The record is from RNAcentral.
GACGAACGCUGGCGGCGCGCCUAACACAUGCAAGUCGAACGGAGCUGAGAGAAGCUUGCUUUUCUUAGCUUAGUGGCGAACGGGUGAGUAACGCGUGAGUAACCUGCCCUGGAGUGGGGGACAACAGUUGGAAACGACUGCUAAUACCGCAUAAGCCCACGAUCCGGCAUCGGAUUGAGGGAAAAGGAUUUAUUCGCUUCAGGAUGGACUCGCGUCCAAUUAGCUAGUUGGUGAGGUAACGGCCCACCAAGGCGACGAUUGGUAGCCGGACUGAGAGGUUGAACGGCCACAUUGGGACUGAGACACGGCCCAGACUCCUACGGGAGGCAGCAGUGGGGGAUAUUGCACAAUGGGGGAAACCCUGAUGCAGCGACGCCGCGUGGAGGAAGAAGGUUUUCGGAUUGUAAACUCCUGUCGGUAGGGACGAUAAUGACGGUACCUAACAAGAAAGCACCGGCUAACUACGU